Molecule: unclassified non-coding RNA, 248 nt
Filed under: Hevea brasiliensis (rubber tree)
Lineage: Eukaryota; Viridiplantae; Streptophyta; Magnoliopsida; Malpighiales; Euphorbiaceae
Source: RNAcentral
GACACCGCAGUCCUAGGAAAAAUUACGAAACUAGGAGAAAUGUGAAAAUCACAGAAAAAUGUUGAAAACCAGAUCAAAUAAUUAAGUCAGGGUUCUGGAAGAAAUACCGAAUUAUUUAUAAACCAUAUCAGACCGGCAAUGGGUAAAUUGAUCAAUUCAUCCCUAGAGGUGACUCAUGGCCUCACUGUCCACUAAAAUUUGAGAAAUGAAAAUAUUGAAAUAGAGAAUUAAAUUAAAGAAAUAAGGAA